RNAcentral lists this ribosomal RNA (329 nucleotides) under uncultured eukaryote. RNAcentral describes it as "partial 18S ribosomal RNA". It matches the Rfam family "Eukaryotic small subunit ribosomal RNA", at positions 1470 to 1796 of the family's 1831-position model. The record is from RNAcentral.
CCCUUAGAUGUCCUGGGCCGCACGCGCGCUACACUGAGUGUCUGAGAUACGAGUCUGCCUGGUCCGGCAAGGUCUAGGUAAUCGCUAAAAGACACAUCAUGCUUGGGAUAGAUUAUUGCAAAUAUUAAUCUUGAACGAGGAAUUCCUAGUAAGCGCAAGUCAACAGCUUGCGUUGAUUACGUCCCUGCCCUUUGUACACACCGCCCGUCGCUACUACUGAUUGGAUGUUUAAGCGAGGUUCUCGAACUGCUAGCGACUUAGCUUCGGUGAGGUCGCAGUGUGGGAAGUGUACCUAGCUUUGGUGUCUAGAGGAAGUAAAAGUCGUAACA